GGGACCAGUGAUGUGUGCAGACCCCACUGAGACCCAAAGCCCUCGAUGGUUCAGCAAACUGCACGCACGUUUCUGGCCUCCUACCUUGACUUCUGGUCACGGCAUAGUUUCCCUUUGAGUCCUGGUAUGCAGAAACUUGACUGAUAGCCAUGACUUCUGCUCCUCUCUGAUUCACUCGUGCAUCAGGAGCUGCAGCCUGCUCUUGUAACAUGAAGGGGUUAAGUUUUACUUGAAAAACCCAAGCAUGAAUGCAAAGUUAGAGUCCAAUCUUGAACACAGGUGACCCUGCAUCUGAACGAUUGUGGAGCUCCUCUUUCAGCUAGCAAAAUAUCUUCUGUGUGUGCUUAUAAUAUAAAGGGAUUAGAGUAGAGCCAUGAAGAGGUCAAAGGAGUAGCUACACCAUGAGUAGCCUUGCAUAUGCCAGCUUUAAACCAGUCAUGGACCUCAGAAGAGGAUGCAAAAAGCCCAUCUGGACCUCAAGUGCAAGUGCUGCCACCACUGUACAAACUUUCUCGGAGCAGGAAAGCUGUUAGAGCUGCAGUUCAACUAAGGACAGUUUCCCACACAAGAGGGAAGAAGGAGAGGUAAAAACAAUUAGGACUGCACCCAAGUGGAACUGCCACGGCUCUUCCAGAGACCAUGAUGUCACUGAAGGCACUGAGGUUGGUGGUUUUAACUUUGCAAGCAAUUCUGUGUUUAGUUUGUGUAGCUUCCAGUGAGAGCCUCCUCCUCUGGCACCUUUAAUAGAAAGCCAGAGCACAGG
Molecule: long non-coding RNA, 763 nt
Organism: Pogoniulus pusillus (Red-fronted tinkerbird)
Lineage: Eukaryota; Metazoa; Chordata; Aves; Piciformes; Lybiidae
Exons: 5
Source: RefSeq, a predicted model, not a curated record